GCAUUUUUAGGCUUAACACUUGAAAGCAGCUUUUUAAUUUUAAAAAGCUAACAAAUUUAACUUCUAAUCUUGAAGCCCUUGCAGUAGCUUUUAAACCCCAAAGGGGGCUAAAUGUAACCUUAGCCUUUUCUGAACAGAUACAGUGUAAGACUGAUAAGGCCCAUAUUUGAAAUCAAAGGCCUAAGAAGAGCACACCUAUAGGUCUGCACCUUCAUCUUUUGUUCAUUGUUGCAUAAACCCACAGAUGAGUUUUAAGUACAAAUAUUGAUUGACAUCAUGGCAAAAUCGUUCUCUCUCUCUCUACGGCUUCUAGGCCCAAGAUUGCUAUAUUCCACAAUUUAGCACAGGUUGAAAAGGGAAAAGGAUCUUUUAAAAUGGAACGGAAAAAUAUGACUCUCUAAAACUAAGAACUUAUUAGACAUAAAACUCUUUUGUAUGUAAUGUGUAGCAAAUAAAAAAGAGAAAUAGAUUGCACAAAAUACGAC
Molecule: long non-coding RNA, 485 nt
Filed under: Lupinus angustifolius (narrow-leaved blue lupine)
Lineage: Eukaryota; Viridiplantae; Streptophyta; Magnoliopsida; Fabales; Fabaceae
Description: long non-coding RNA (LANG_LNC001001)
Source: RNAcentral